This 900-nucleotide ribosomal RNA is filed under the name Xestaspis padaviya. RNAcentral describes it as "SSU rRNA". The record is from RNAcentral. Lineage: Eukaryota; Metazoa; Arthropoda; Arachnida; Araneae; Oonopidae.
AGCCAUGCACGUGUAUGUACUUGCCGCUUCAAGGYGAAACCGCGAAUGGCUCAUUACAUCGGCCGUGGUUCCUUAGAUCGUACCUUAUUACUUGGAUAACUGUGGUAAUUCUAGAGCUAAUACAUGCAGCGGAGCUCCGCCCCUUCGGGGAACGAGCGCUUUUAUUAGACCAAGACCAAUCGGGCCUCGUGUCCGUUCUUUGUGGCGACUCUGUAUAACUUUGGGCUGAUCGCACGGGCCUGUCCCGGCGACACAUCUUUCAAGUGUCCGCCUUAUCAACUGUCGAUGGUAGGUUAUGCGCCUACCAUGGUUGUAACGGGUAACGGGGAAUCAGGGUUUGGUUCCGGAGAGGGAGCCUGAGAAACGGCUACCACAUCCAAGGAAGGCAGCAGGCGCGCAAAUUACCCACUCCCGGCACGGGGAGGUAGUGACGAAAAAUAACAAUACGGGACUCUUUUGAGACCCCGUAAUUGGAAUGAGUACACUCUAAAUCCUUUAACGAGGACCCAUUGGAGGGAAAGUCUGGUGCCAGCCGCCGCGGUAAUACCAGCUCCAAUAGCGUAUAUUAAAGUUGUUGCGGUUAAAAAGCUCGUAGUUGGAUCUCAGUUCCAGACGGGCGGUCCGCCUAACGGUGGUUACUGCUCGGCCUGAACAACCAGUCGGUUUCCCUAGAUGAUCUUUGUUGGUUGUCCUGGGUGACCGACACGUUUACUUUGAAGAAAUUAGAGUGCUCAAAGCAGGCGUAUCGCCUGAAUAAUGGUGCAUGGAAUAAUGGAAUAGGACCUCGGUUCUAUUUUGUUGGUUUUCGGAACACGAGGUAAUGAUUAAGAGGGACAGCCGGGGGCAUUCGUAUUGCGACGCUAGAGGUGAAAUUCUUGGACCGUCGCAAGACGAACUACU